Molecule: ribosomal RNA, 463 nt
Filed under: uncultured bacterium
Lineage: Bacteria
Description: bacterial SSU rRNA
Rfam family: Bacterial small subunit ribosomal RNA
Source: RNAcentral
CCAGACUCCUACGGGAGGCAGCAGUGAGGAAUAUUGGUCAAUGGCCGGAAGGCUGAACCAGCCAAGCCGCGUGAAGGACGAAGGUGCCAAGCAUUGUAAACUUCUUUUGUCAAGGGACAAAAUCAGGCUCGAGAGCCUGACCGAGGGUACUUGAAGAAAAAGCAUCGGCUAACUCCGUGCCAGCAGCCGCGGUAAUACGGAGGAUGCGAGCGUUAUCCGGAUUUAUUGGGUUUAAAGGGUGCGUAGGCGGAUUUUUAAGUCAGCGGUAAAAUGUCCGGGCUCAACCCGGGCCGGCCGUUGAAACUGGGGAUCUUGAGUGGGCGAGAAGUAUGCGGAAUGCGUGGUGUAGCGGUGAAAUGCAUAGAUAUCACGCAGAACUCCGAUUGCGAAGGCAGCAUACCGGCGCCCGACUGACGCUGAGGCACGAAAGCGUGGGUAUCGAACAGGAUUAGAUACCCGAGUA